UGGGGAAUUUUGGACAAUGGGCGAAAGCCUGAUCCAGCCAUGCCGCGUGCAGGAUGAAGGCCUUCGGGUUGUAAAUUGCUUUUGUACGGAACGAAAAGCCUCUUUCUAAUAAAGAGAGGUCAUGACGGUACCGUAAGAUUAAGCACCGGCUAACUACGUGCCGGCAGCCGCGGUAAUACGUAGGGUGCGAGCGUUAAUCGGAAUUACUGGGCGUAAAGCGUGUGCAGGCGGUGAUGUAAGACAGAUGUGAAAUCCCCGGGCUCAACCUGGGAACUGCAUUUGUGACUGCAUCGGUGGAGUGCGGCAGAGGGGGAUGGAAUUCCGCGUGUAGAAGUGAAAUGCGUAGAUAUGAGGAGGAACACCGAUGGCGAAGGCAAUCCCCUGGGCCUGAACUGACGCUCAUGCACGAAAGCGUGGGGAGCAAACAGG
RNAcentral lists this ribosomal RNA (429 nucleotides) under Acidobacteriota bacterium. RNAcentral's name for it is "Acidobacteria bacterium partial 16S ribosomal RNA". It matches the Rfam family "Bacterial small subunit ribosomal RNA", at positions 355 to 776 of the family's 1533-position model. Lineage: Bacteria; Pseudomonadati; Acidobacteriota. The record is from RNAcentral.